ACGGGAGGCAGCAGUGAGGAAUAUUGGUCAAUGGGCGUAAGCCUGAACCAGCCAAGUAGCGUGAGGGAUGACUGCCCUACGGGUUGUAAACCUCUUUUGUUUGGGAAUAAAGUAGACUACGUGUAGUCUUUUGCAUGUACCUUUCGAAUAAGCAUCGGCUAAUUCCGUGCCAGCAGCCGCGGUAAUACGGAAGAUGCGAGCGUUAUCCGGAUUUAUUGGGUUUAAAGGGAGCGUAGGCGGCCUGUUAAGUCAGCGGUGAAAUGCAGGGGCUCAACCCCGGCACUGCCGUUGAAACUGGCGAGCUCGAGUACGGAUGAAGUCGGCGGAAUGUGAUGUGUAGCGGUGAAAUGCUUAGAUAUGUCACAGAACACCGAUUGCGAAGGCAGCUGACUAAUCCGCAACUGACGCUCAGGCACGAAAGCGUGGGGAUCGAACAGGAUUAGAUACCCUGGUA
This 454-nucleotide ribosomal RNA is filed under the name uncultured Paraprevotella sp. Its description in RNAcentral is "partial 16S ribosomal RNA". It matches the Rfam family "Bacterial small subunit ribosomal RNA", at positions 341 to 792 of the family's 1533-position model. Lineage: Bacteria; Pseudomonadati; Bacteroidota; Bacteroidia; Bacteroidales; Prevotellaceae. The record is from RNAcentral.